Molecule: ribosomal RNA, 475 nt
Filed under: uncultured organism
Description: partial 16S ribosomal RNA
Rfam family: Bacterial small subunit ribosomal RNA
Source: RNAcentral
CACUCCUGCGGGAGGCAGCAGUAGGGAAUCUUCGGCAAUGGGGGCAACCCUGACCGAGCAACGCCGCGUGAGUGAAGAAGGUUUUCGGAUCGUAAAGCUCUGUUGUAAGUCAAGAACGAGUGUGAGAGUGGAAAGUUCACACUGUGACGGUAGCUUACCAGAAAGGGACGGCUAACUACGUGCCAGCAGCCGCGGUAAUACGUAGGUCCCGAGCGUUGUCCGGAUUUAUUGGGCGUAAAGCGAGCGCAGGCGGUUUGAUAAGUCUGAAGUUAAAGGCUGUGGCUCAACCAUAGUUCGCUUUGGAAACUGUCAAACUUGAGUGCAGAAGGGGAGAGUGGAAUUCCAUGUGUAGCGGUGAAAUGCGUAGAUAUAUGGAGGAACACCGGUGGCGAAAGCGGCUCUCUGGUCUGUAACUGACGCUGAGGCUCGAAAGCGUGGGGAGCGAACAGGAUUAGAAACCCUAGUAGUCCCAUGA